This 422-nucleotide ribosomal RNA is filed under the name uncultured Parasegetibacter sp. RNAcentral describes it as "bacterial SSU rRNA". It matches the Rfam family "Bacterial small subunit ribosomal RNA", at positions 355 to 774 of the family's 1533-position model. The record is from RNAcentral. Lineage: Bacteria; Pseudomonadati; Bacteroidota; Chitinophagia; Chitinophagales; Chitinophagaceae.
UAAGGAAUAUUGGGCAAUGGACGAAAGUCUGACCCAGCCAUGCCGCGUGGAGGAUGAAGGUCCUCUGGAUUGUAAACUUCUUUUAUUUGGGAAGAAACCCGGAUUUUCUAAUUCGGUUGACGGUACCAGAUGAAUAAGCACCGGCUAACUCCGUGCCAGCAGCCGCGGUAAUACGGAGGGUGCAAGCGUUAUCCGGAUUCACUGGGUUUAAAGGGUGCGUAGGCGGGCAGGUAAGUCAGUGGUGAAAUCUCCGGGCUUAACCCGGAAACUGCCGUUGAUACUAUCUGUCUUGAAUAUCGUGGAGGUAAGCGGAAUAUGUCAUGUAGCGGUGAAAUGCUUAGAUAUGACAUAGAACACCCAUUGCGAAGGCAGCUUACUACACGAUCAUUGACGCUGAGGCACGAAAGCGUGGGGAGCAAACA